AUUGGGCCGGCUAGAGGUCGUUUCCUGCUUACGUCAGUUUCCUCUCGCGAGUCGUUCGCAGGGAACGUGGGUGUCAAAAUACAUACGCGACAAGAUGUUUCGUUCUUAGAAAAGCGGAUAAAAUAUGCGUAAUAUCAUCUCAAAGAAAACCGCAGUGCAGAGCCUACAUGUUAAGUAUGUAUUGAGAAAGUGCCAUAAAUAACUGCCGACUCCUAAUUAUAUCUAGAUACACCUAGUUUCCACUAUAAAUACAACUGGUUACCACCGUUGUCAGUGCCACCUUACUGGAAAUUUGUGACAAAGAAAUGCUGCAAGUCCAGUUUUCAGGGAAGGAGAUGAAUAUGUCAGGGAAUGAAAGAAGAAUAAAAACAUUAAAAACUCAUAACACGGACUAAGCACUGCAUACUAGUUGGAUUUAUAUUUUCCUGAGAGAGAUAUUCUUCAAGAACGUAGGCCUUUGUUUUAGCGAAGAUGAGCCAAUAUUAAAUGUCUGUGACUUGCAACAAUAUGUGAACAUGUGUGAUGAGACUCAGGUGCCAUCCAGUGCCCCAUAAAGCCCGACCUUACCAAUGCAUGUCUGUGAAAGUGCAUGAUAGCACAGACAAAGGUGCAUACCACAAUUCACAGGGAGAGGUACGCCUUCUGUGGUUGAACAACAAGGACCGGACUCUUAACAUUUGCAAAAAUACCUGUUGUGGGGGACAUGGACGAUUCCUCACCCAUAGUAACUGCCCCAGAGUCAAGUAAAGGGUCCAGGUCUGGUGCGACAUUGGGGAGAGCUGAUGCUCUGAAGACGAGCUGAAUGAAACCUAUCUCUCAGACUUGACCUUGUAGCGGAGGACGAGGUAAGUAGCCAGCCGGAGGAUGAUGAAAAAAAC
Mugil cephalus (flathead mullet) is the source of this 878-nucleotide long non-coding RNA. RefSeq lists it as uncharacterized. The transcript has 4 exons. The record is from RefSeq and is a predicted model, not a curated record. Lineage: Eukaryota; Metazoa; Chordata; Actinopteri; Mugiliformes; Mugilidae.